ACGGAAGGCAGCAGUGGGGAAUAUUGCACAAUGGGGGAAACCCUGAUGCAGCGAUGCCGCGUGGAGGAAGAAGGUUUUCGGAUUGUAAACUCCUGUCUUAAAGGACGAUAAUGACGGUACUUUAGGAGGAAGCUCCGGCUAACUACGUGCCAGCAGCCGCGGUAGUACGUAGGGAGCGAGCGUUGUCCGGAAUUACUGGGUGUAAAGGGAGCGUAGGCGGGAUUGCAAGUCAGAUGUGAAAUACAGGGGCUCAACCUCUGGGCUGCGUUUGAAACUGUAGUUCUUGAGUGAAGUAGAGGUAAGCGGAAUUCCUGGUGUAGCGGUGAAAUGCGUAGAUAUCAGGAGGAACACCGAUGGCGAAGGCGGCUUACUGGGCUUUUACUGACGCUGAGGCUCGAAAGCGUGGGGAGCAAACAGGAUUAGAUACCCUGGUA
Molecule: ribosomal RNA, 434 nt
Filed under: uncultured Ruminococcus sp.
Lineage: Bacteria; Bacillati; Bacillota; Clostridia; Eubacteriales; Oscillospiraceae
Description: partial 16S ribosomal RNA
Rfam family: Bacterial small subunit ribosomal RNA
Source: RNAcentral